GAUGAAGAACGUAGCGAAAUGCGAUACUUGGUGUGAAUUGCAGAAUCCCGUGAACCAUCGAGUCUUUGAACGCAAGUUGCGCCCGAGGCCUCCUGGUCGAGGGCACGUCUGCCUGGGUGUCACGCAUCGUCGCCCCCUCUCCCCUCGGCUCGCGAGGGCGGGGGCGGAUACUGGUCUCCCGCGCGCUCCCGCUCGCGGUUGGCCCAAAAUCGAGUCCUCGGCGACGGUCGCCACGACGAGCGGUGGUCGAGAGACCCUCGGACACGGUCGUGCGCGCGCCUGUCGCCCCCGGGAUCUCCUGGACCCUCGGGCAUCGAAAUUCUAGGAUGCUCUCGUUGCGACCCCAGGUCAGGCGGGACUACCCGCUGAGUUUAAGCAUAUCAAUAAGCGGAGGA
RNAcentral lists this unclassified non-coding RNA (395 nucleotides) under soil metagenome. RNAcentral describes it as "partial contains 5.8S ribosomal RNA, internal transcribed spacer 2, and large subunit ribosomal RNA". The stretch from base 1 to 122 matches the Rfam family "5.8S ribosomal RNA", at positions 35 to 154 of the family's 154-position model. The record is from RNAcentral.